CAGCAGCCACGGUAAUACGUAGGUGGCAAGCGUUGUCCGGAACUAUUGGGCGUAAAGGGCUCGCAGGCGGUUUCUUAAGUCUGAUGUGAAAGCCCCCGGCUCAGCCGGGGAGGGUCAUUGGAAACUGGGAAACUUGAGUGCAGAAGAGGAGAGUGGAAUUCCACGUGUAGCGGUGAAAUGCGUAGAGAUGUGGAGGAACACCAGUGGCGAAGGCGACUCUCUGGUCUGUAACUGACGCUGAGGAGCGAAAGCGUGGGGAGCGAACAGGAUUAGAUACCCCGGUAGUCCCUGUCUCUUAUAC
This 301-nucleotide ribosomal RNA is filed under the name uncultured bacterium. RNAcentral describes it as "partial 16S ribosomal RNA". It matches the Rfam family "Bacterial small subunit ribosomal RNA", at positions 509 to 807 of the family's 1533-position model. The record is from RNAcentral.